UAAUAAGUGUUUUAUGGCACUCUUUAAAAAUCCAUAUCCACCUUGUGUGCAAUGUCAGUCGAUCUUCUUCAUGGAGGUCGGCCAAACAUCAACCUUAUCUUUUAACUCUUUGUCUGAAAAAUAUUAUGAAUAAACAAUUCAAAAUA
Molecule: unclassified non-coding RNA, 146 nt
Filed under: uncultured Mortierella
Lineage: Eukaryota; Fungi; Mortierellomycota; Mortierellomycetes; Mortierellales; Mortierellaceae
Description: sequence contains ITS1
Source: RNAcentral